GAAAUGCGAUAAGUAAUGUGAAUUGCAGAUUUCAGUGAAUCAUCGAAUCUUUGAACGCACCUUGCACCUUCUGGUAUUCCGGAAGGUACAUCUGUUUGAGUGUCAUUAAAUUCUCAACCAUUCAGGGUUUUAUGAGCCUUGUUUGGCUUGGAAUGUGAGGGACCUGCUGGCUGCUUUAUUGCGAUCCGCUCCCUUGAAAUGUAUUAGCUGGGAACUAGUACUUUGUCUUAAUUGUUGCAAUGCCUGAAGACCUCCUAGUGUGAUAAUUAUCGACGCUGUUGGUUUAGUUGCUGACAUACUAUGAGCAAAGUAGUUGUAUACCUGCUUCUAAUCGUCUCGCAAGGGACUAGUCUGCUUCAGGACUAUAUGACCAUUGUGACCUCAAAUCAGAUGGGACUAC
This 400-nucleotide unclassified non-coding RNA is filed under the name uncultured Agaricales. RNAcentral describes it as "sequence contains ITS1". The stretch from base 1 to 105 matches the Rfam family "5.8S ribosomal RNA", at positions 50 to 154 of the family's 154-position model. Lineage: Eukaryota; Fungi; Basidiomycota; Agaricomycetes; Agaricales. The record is from RNAcentral.